AGCGUCCAAGGUACAAAUAGUUCCUGCUGGAAAAAGGUGAGGCAAUAAAUGUAAAAGUACCUCCUGAGAGUGAGAUAACUGCUUCAUGUGCCGGUCGAGUUUCAUUCCAGAGAAGCUGGACGGUUCUUUUCUUCAGCGCUUCAAAAACUAGCUUGUUUUCUUCAGCAGCAUGGCAGAGCCGCAGAGAAAAGCAGAACUGCUACCUGAAGACAUUGGCACAGACGACUGCCUGACUUCAUACACACACAUCUACAGUCCAGAUUUACUGAAGGAUCAUGUUGCUUUCAUCACAGGUGGGGGAUCUGGGAUUGGUCUCAGGAUAGCUGAAAUCUUCAUGAGACAUGGCUGUGACACUGUGAUUGCCAGCAGGAACUUAGACAAGCUCAAAGAGGCCGCUAAAAAGCUGUCUGCUGUGUCAGGGCGCCGCUGUCUCCCUCUGUGUAUAGAUGUGAGGCAGCCAGAGAGCAUCGCAGCAGCUGUGGAUGAGACACUGAAAGAGCUGGGCCGUAUAGACAUCCUUAUUAACAAUGCUGCUGGAAAUUUCCUCUGCCCGGUUACGUCACUAUCCUUCAAUGCCUUCAAGACAGUAAUGGAGAUAGACACUAUGGGCACAUUCAACACCAGCAAGGUGGUUUAUGAGAAGUGGUUCAAGGAUCAUGGUGGAAACAUAGUAAACAUCUCUGCAACACUUGGAUACAAGGGGCAGGCCCUCCAGGUACAUGCUGGCUCUGCUAAGGCUGCAAAUGAUGCCAUGACCAAGCACCUGGCUGUGGAGUGGGGGCCCAGUGGAGUGAGAGUCAAUGCUGUGGCUCCAGGCCCUAUCUCUGGCACAGAGGGAUUCCGCAGACUGGGUGGCCCUAGAGGGGAAGCUGCUGGUGCCUUCCAGUCCAUUCCUUUGCAGCGAGCAGGCAACAAGACAGAGAUGGCCCACUGCACUCUUUUCUUGGCCAGCCGGGCCUCCUCCUACGUGACCGGUGCCAUCCUGGUGGCUGAUGGUGGGGCGUGGUUGACCUCAGCCAAUGAUGUCUCCAUGCUGUUGGGUAUAGCCUCCUCUAAAUCUGCUAAACUCUGAACAGGGGCUCUCCUGUCCUCCUCCUGACCCAGGUGUGUAGGAGGAGGUGCAGCUUGAGGUCCAUGCUAUUGGUCAUCUGAAAAGAGGGGAGACAAGUAAAUGCUGAAAACAAAAGAGUAAUUACAGGCCAUCUUCAGUAUUGAUAUGCUACAUGUACAUUGUUUGUGGUUUAUCUCACCAUUGCUGUCUUAAGAGUGGAUUGCUAAGUGGCUGUAGGAGAUGAACUCUAACAUACAAUACUUAUUAUAUUACAUGUGUUAGUUGUGGAUCAACUUAUGUAACAAUUCAGGGAUUUUUCACCCACUACAGUGCUGCAUACUAUCAUGCAUUUCAUGUACAGUCAUGUUUAUCACCUCAUUCCAUUUGGUUUUUCAGUACCUCUCAUUUAUUAAUAAAACUUUUAUAAUUAGUUAA
Molecule: RNA transcript, 1486 nt
Organism: Lates calcarifer (barramundi perch)
Lineage: Eukaryota; Metazoa; Chordata; Actinopteri; Centropomidae
Gene: decr2
Gene name: 2,4-dienoyl CoA reductase 2, peroxisomal
Exons: 10
Source: RefSeq, a predicted model, not a curated record